UAAAAUGGCCAUAUCACCUUGUCAGUGCCAGCAUUUGUCUCAUCUUGGAAGCUAAGCAGGGCUGUUCCUGGUUAGUACUUGGAUGAGAGAGCACUGAGAGUACCAGGUACCACAGUGA
Molecule: ribosomal RNA, 118 nt
Filed under: Periophthalmus magnuspinnatus
Lineage: Eukaryota; Metazoa; Chordata; Actinopteri; Gobiiformes; Gobiidae
Source: RNAcentral